This 58-nucleotide transfer RNA is filed under the name Ixodes scapularis (black-legged tick). The record is from Rfam by way of RNAcentral. Lineage: Eukaryota; Metazoa; Arthropoda; Arachnida; Ixodida; Ixodidae.
GGUCUAAUCGGCGAAGGCGUCGCCCCGGAUAGGCGAAGGUUGCGGGUUCGAACCCCGC